CCUACGGGAGGCAGCAGUGAGGAAUAUUGGUCAAUGGACGAGAGUCUGAACCAGCCAAGUAGCGUGAAGGAUGACUGCCCUAUGGGUUGUAAACUUCUUUUAUAUGGGAAUAAAAUGUUCCACGUGUGGGUUUUUGUAUGUACCAUAUGAAUAAGGAUCGGCUAACUCCGUGCCAGCAGCCGCGGUAAUACGGAGGAUCCGAGCGUUAUCCGGAUUUAUUGGGUUUAAAGGGAGCGUAGGUGGAUUGUUAAGUCAGUUGUGAAAGUUUGCGGCUCAACCGUAAAAUUGCAGUUGAAACUGGCAGUCUUGAGUACAGUAGAGGUAGGCGGAAUUCGUGGUGUAGCGGUGAAAUGCUUAGAUAUCACGAAGAACUCCGAUUGCGAAGGCAGCUCACUGGACUGCAACUGACACUGAGGCUCGAAAGUGUGGGUAUCAAACAGGAUUAGAGACCCUUGUAGUC
Molecule: ribosomal RNA, 460 nt
Filed under: uncultured bacterium
Lineage: Bacteria
Description: partial 16S ribosomal RNA
Rfam family: Bacterial small subunit ribosomal RNA
Source: RNAcentral